Molecule: ribosomal RNA, 245 nt
Filed under: uncultured Lachnospiraceae bacterium
Lineage: Bacteria; Bacillati; Bacillota; Clostridia; Lachnospirales; Lachnospiraceae
Description: partial 16S ribosomal RNA
Rfam family: Bacterial small subunit ribosomal RNA
Source: RNAcentral
UACGUAGGGGGCAAGCGUUAUCCGGAUUUACUGGGUGUAAAGGGAGCGCAGACGGAAGUACAAGUCUGAUGUGAAAUGCGGGGGCUCAACCCCUGACUUGCAUUGGAAACUGUAUUUCUAGAGUGCAGGAGAGGUAAGUGGAAUUCCUAGUGUAGCGGUGAAAUGCGUAGAUAUUAGGAGGAACACCGGUGGCGAAGGCGGCUUACUGGACUGUAACUGACGUUGAGGCUCGAAAGCGUGGGGAG